RNAcentral lists this ribosomal RNA (460 nucleotides) under uncultured bacterium. RNAcentral describes it as "partial 16S ribosomal RNA". It matches the Rfam family "Bacterial small subunit ribosomal RNA", at positions 338 to 795 of the family's 1533-position model. The record is from RNAcentral.
CCUACGGGAGGCAGCAGUGAGGAAUAUUGGUCAAUGGGCGCGAGCCUGAACCAGCCAAGCAGCGUGAAGGAUGACUGCUCUACGGGUUGUAAACUCCUUUUAUAAAGGAGUAAAGUGAGGCACGUGUGCCUUUUUGUAUGUACUUUAUGAAUAAGGAUCGGCUAACUCCGUGCCAGCAGCCGCGGUAAUACGGAGGAUCCGAGCGUUGUCCUGAUUUAUUGGGUUUAAAGGGAGCGUAGAGGGGUUGUUAAGUCAGUUGUGAAAGCUUGCGGCUCAACCGGAACAGUGCAAUUGAUACUGGGAGUCUUGAGUACAGUUGAGGUAAGCGGAAUUCGUGGUGUAGCGGUGAAAUGCUUAGAUAUCACGAAGAACACCGGUUGCGAAGGCAGCUUACUAGACUGCAACUGACAUUGAUGCUCGAAAGUGUGGGUAGCAAACAGGAUUAGAUACCCCAGUAGUC